Molecule: long non-coding RNA, 2094 nt
Organism: Tympanuchus pallidicinctus (lesser prairie-chicken)
Lineage: Eukaryota; Metazoa; Chordata; Aves; Galliformes; Phasianidae
Exons: 3
Source: RefSeq, a predicted model, not a curated record
GAGAGGAGAGGAGAGGAGAGGAGAUUUUCUGAUUCCCUUCUAACCUUAUUUUCUAGGAAACAGCAUUUGAUAUCUUGCAGGGGAAAAAGUGUCCCAGCAAACAUAAACUAGUAAUCCAAGUGAGCAAAUUGUGUUGUAGGAUAUUUAUUUCCAUAGUCACCCAACAGGUUUUUGUGAAAGGGUAUUAAGAAGAAUAAAAUAAUAGUGAUUUUCAGUCUUUUGGAAAUGGUGUAAGAAGGUUUUUUUAUGGAUGCUGUAAGAUACAGAAGGAAUUUUCUUUCCAACAUGUUUUUUUCAGCAAUAUUUUCUCUAGUUGAGAUUUAAGGGAGGAACCAGACACCAAAUUUCAGUCACCAGAACUGUGCUCCAGAUCUCAAAGUAUUUAAUAGAUGUGUUCAGUCUGCCUCCCCAUGUGAACAAGUCCAAGGAAACCUCAGAAAAAAUGCCAAAUGUUUAAAAACUCAGCAGAGACUGAUGAAAAGAGAAGAAAGCAGAGGCCAGUUGUAGACACUAUAUACAAAAUAAAUCUUUAAACAUGAUUUUCCUGUGAGGUUUGUUUUGUUCACUUAAUGAAAAUGUCAUUAGCAGAGAUGUAGGAAUGAACCCAGCAGGGGAGUUGGCAUUUGACUUUAUUGAAGCAACCCUUGUCCCUUUUCACCCCACUUCCAUAUCACCUGUAUCUUCUGUGUAAUGACAAGGGUUAAUGAUAGCACUGCAGAGGUCAAACACUGGAAGGUGAUUAAAAAAAUGAACUGUUUUCCAUAUACCUUGGUUCAAUGAGUUCAAAGGCAAGAGAGCACACAGAUAUGCAUAUCUUGGUUUGGAUUACAGCAAAGCUUCACCUGUGAGGCCAUUUGAAAAUGUGUGGGCUUGCACUACAGGGGAGCUGAGAGAAAACACCUAAAUGGUUACUACCAUCAGAAGCAUCAGCAUGAAACUCACCUUGUCAGUCUGUAGCAGCCUGGAUCCGGGAGACCUUGCAAUGUCAGCUUGCUGCCAAUGGGAAUAAAAAAGUAUUCUUGUGUUUUUGUAGCAGCCAAGCUGUUACAGGAACAAGGAACGUGAAUGGAACCAAAAUGAGGUAAUGUCACUUCUAAUGAACCUGUGGUCGACAUUGGAACAGAAGGCAUUUAAAAAAGGGAAAACAGGAAAGUCUUGAUCCUGAGCUGAAGAUUUCCGCAGUAUGAGCAACAAGGCAAGGUAGCUGAUUACAUCUGAAAUGACUAGGAAACAACAGCUAAAUACUGAAUUAGUAGAUACUGUAAUUAGAGCAGUUGAAAACUUUUUGUUCUGAUUUCAAAGAAAAAUAAGAAUUCUGAAUAGAAAAUAGAUCUGCUUCAGCUGGUUGGUUUUUGGUUUUGUUUUGCUUUGUUUUGUUUUGUUUGUUUGUUUUUUAGUUAAACGUAGGCCUGAAAAUACUGUUUCAAGGUAACUGGAAGCAUUUAAUUGGGCUGAAAUGAAUGCAAAGUUCACUUCCAGUCAUUGCCAUGACUAAAUCAGAUGCUAACUUCUAGCUUGCUCAAAGCAAAGAAAGUAUAAUAAAUGCCAUGUUUACCCACACAGGACAAAGAAAUAAGGUGUGGUUUUCCAGGUAAGUACAAUCAGUAUUACUGUUGCAGCUGUUAAUAACAUUAGAUAUGAUUACAACCUGAUUGAAGGAAGACAUCUUCUUAACUCACAGUUAACAAAGAGACCAGUUCUUUUGAAGAUCCUCUCUUGGCAAAGUCAUACCUGGAGAAGCACUGCCAAAUCCAGGGUCCUUAAUAAAGAACGUGACAUAUUUGUUGGUACAUUGUUUUUUUUCCCAGAUGAACUGCAUUUCAGGUCUCUUUUACAGCUAAAGUUUAACUAUCCUUGCAGCAAAGCAGCUUUUCAAGCAAUCUUGUUGGAAGAGAUCGGGGGUGGGAGAAAGUAGUUUAAAAAUUAAUAGAGGUACUUUUUUCUUAAUUGAACUAUAAAUACUAUUUUAAUGGGUAUUUUGUUAUAUGAAAAUAUAGUCAGAAAAUUCAUCUAGAAGACUGAGAACCACUCACGGUGUUCCAAAAUUGUCAGUUCUCAGAAUAAAUAUGAAAUAUAUCUCAUAUUUCUUGUGGG